GUGCUUUUCCUAACUAAAGUAUGUUUUAUCUUGAUAAUAUUUAGUUAAUAGUUACACCCAAUUUUUUUUUUGUUAAUAGGGACUUUUACUAAACACAUAUGACACAUCACCCUGAUCUUUCAACCAGUUGUUAUGAUAUACUUCAGAAAAUGUCUCAGUUAACUACAUUAUAUUUGCAAAACAAGCUCUCUUUUUUGAAAUUCAUAUAUACUACUUAGUUAUCCGUUAGAGAACAGAAAUAUUCCAAUCUUAAAAAGUAACAGUGAGUUCAACGUACAAUAAAGCGUAAUUGGUCAACUGAUUCAUUCAGUAGCUUUCAACAACAUCAACCGUUUUGAAUCACUAUUUUAAUUGUGACUCAAAAAGAAUUGAUAAUGAAUAACGUGUGCAUGCUUUAAUUGGAUCCACGUUCUUGGAUAACAAACAUAAAAAAUAAUCGGAGAGAUCAUGAUCAUGUGAAACUCAAAGGAACUUACAAGAGUCGUAACUUCAUGUCUUCAUCUACACGCAAGAGAGGAUUGGUGAUCCCGACGAGACCUAGCCAAUCCCAUACAAAGGAAUAUAAAACGGUCUCAAGCUACAGAUUUUUAGUGGGCUUUAUUAAAAGAAUGGCCCGAGAAUUCAACAUCUUUAGUUCUUUAUGGGCUUUAUAAUAAGAUGGGCCGACUAUUCAAGUUGUAUACACAUCCUAUAUAACAAGACGGGCCCCGCUCUAUGUGUUUUUUUGUUCCGAGUUCCGACAUAACUACCCUCUGUUGUCCGAAUUCCUCCCACGAGUUGUAAAGAGAAAAUAUCCAAACGAUAUAGAGAUUUUUACCGUUCUGCGGUUCGCCGGUGAGUCGCAAUUUCUCGAAUUUCGUAUCGAAGUUUGCGUCUUUGAUCUUAAUCCGAAGAAAAUAGAUUCUUACUUGUUAAUCAAAGACGGUAAGUGAUAUAGGUAUUUCACUAUUUCACUUACAGGUUUUGAUUCCGACAUGUAUUGAUUAUCGGGUUUUAAUAUCUUGAAGUGUUUGCUUUGUCCAUGGAUUGUCUUGUUCUUGAUUAUUUUGAAAUAUUCUGUUGAUUUAUGUUAAGAACAGAUAGUUAAAGAGACUUCAAUGGCGAGCCAAGGAAUGGUGUCUCUCACUAAGUCUCUAUGCAUUAUGACUCCAAAAGUCCGCCUCAAGAACACAAAGACGACAAAGAACCUAAUCACACGGUCUUGUAAUCUCCGUGUCUUAUGUUCAAAGCUGUCUCAAUGGGAACAAGCACCUUUUAUUCAUGAUUCUACAGAAGAAGCUGGUGGUGGUAUAGUAUUGGAGAAAACCAAGAACGUGUUCGAGUCUAUCGUAUCCGAGACUGAAGCGGAGGAGCAGAAAAUUCAGGUUUUUAAAUGGCCAAUAUGGCUUUUAGGUCCAUCUGUUCUACUCACAAGUGGUAUGGCACCUACUCUAUGGCUUCCAUUAUCAUCGGUUUACGUCGGUUCAAAAGUGGUUAGCGUGCUUUCAUUGAUCGGUUUAGAUUGCAUUUUCAACCUCGGAGCAACCCUUUUCUUGCUAAUGGCUGAUUCUGGCGCACGUCCUAAAGAUCCAUCACAACCCUGCAAGAGCCAACCACCGUUUAGCUACAAAUUUUGGAACGUUUUUGCGCUCGUAACCGGGUUUCUCAUACCGACGCUACUUCUGCUCGGAUCCCAAACCGGUUUACUCGCUUCUCUCCAACCGGAGCUUCCUUUCUUGUCUGUGGCUGUUCUCCUCUUCCCUUACUUCAUCCUCCUCGCGGUUCAGACAUUAACAGAGAUCCUCACGUGGAGCUGGCAAUCACCGGUUUGGCUAGUGACACCUGUUGUCUACGAGGCUUACAGAGUUCUGCAACUUAUGAGAGGGUUGAAACUAAGCGCAGAGGUUAACGCACCGGUUUGGGUGGUUCACGUGAUUCGUGGGCUAGUCUCUUGGUGGGUGUUGAUCUUGGGGAUGCAACUCAUGAGAGUUGCUUGGUUUGCUGGUUUUGCAUCUAGAACAACAACAACAACUCAGCAACCAGAAUCUGUUGCUUCAGAGUAAAGACAGUUUCUUUCGUUUACCUUUGAAGCUAGUCCUCCUAUCAGGAAAAAAAAGAAAGAUUUGUAACUACUGUAUGUGUAGCUAUUAUUGUUGGUGACUAUAACAAAAACAUAUUUCUUUUAUAUUCAUAUUAUUAAUUUGUACAUUAUUCUCUGCAUUGAUUUGGUAUAUAUUUCCGAAAUAAUCAAAAUAUAUAUAAUGCAUAUUUCAUAGAAACUUUUACCAAAAAUUUUGUCAUAGAAAAAUCUCUAUUUGUGGAAAUUCUUUUAAUAGUAAGGGUUGUAGGCAAGAAAAUAGUCGUGUAAUGUUUUUUCUAGAUCCUAAAAUUGUCAAAUAAGACUCUAUCUAAGUUUUACAAUUCAAAAAAAAAACUUUAAAUAUUUCUUAAGUGAAAAAUAUAGUAAUUGGUGUUUAGGAUCAAUCCCAUAAACAAUUAGAGAUUACACAAUAAAGAUGAAAGAUACAAACUUUUUAGAACAGAUUUUUUUUGUUUUGAAUUUUAGAAAAAAAAAACAUUUAAAGGAAUGAUUUAAUAUGAUGUAAGCAAAACUGUUGGAGAUAAAAAAAAAAUAUUGUAAGUAAAACCCCUAGACGUAAAUAUUUGUUAAAAACAAUAAUUAUCGGUUACAAAAAAUCAAUAUAUUAAUUUUUAUUAAUAAUAAAAUAAUAAUGCAUUUGAAAAAGACCUGUCAUAAUAAUAAAACGUAUUUCUAUAUUUCGUCAUCAUCAUAUUCUCUUUUUUUUUCUUCUAACAUUGGGAUAAUCUCUUCUUUAAUUUGGUCACUGAAUUUUCGUAAUGCGUUUGCGAAUAAAUCGCGUUUCAAAUCAAAGACAUGAUUAUUGUUUUAGUGAAAAGACAGUAACACCCUGGAGACUGAAACAAAACACACAGCGAAGUCCCAGUUUCUCCAUUCUCUCUCUCUCUCGAUCGACGACUGCUCUGUCGGAACCGGAGACGCGCGUCGCGGAACGAAUCUGUUUUUGAAUCUCCGGUGAUCUGAUCGAGAUGAGUAACAGUGAGCUUCUUACCGUUGAGCCUCUCGACCUUCAAUUCCCUUGUAAGCUUUUAUUUCAGACACGUUUUCGUUAUUUCGCAUGUCUUUCUUCGUGUCCGGACCAGAUCUAGAUUUUUUUUCCAAAGUGUUAAUGAUUCAUCUUAUCUGAUAUGAUUCGAUGUAGUUGAAUUGAGGAAGCAGAUCUCAUGCUCUCUUUACUUGACCAACAAGACCGACAAUCAUGUCGCCUUUAAGGUAAUAAUAAUAGUACUAAAUUUCCAGGCUUUGGAUCGGGUUGUAUCUAAUGUUUCUGAGGCUUGUGGUUUUUUUUUAUUUUGUUAGGUUAAGACAACGAAUCCGAAGAAGUAUUGCGUUAGGCCUAACACUGGAGUUGUUCUUCCACGGUCCACUUGUGAAGUUCUUGGUCCGUUCUCUCAUUCUCUAUGCAUUGUUAUUCUUUUUGUGUUGAAUUGCGAUUUCCAAAGGAAGCUCCUUUCAAUAUGCAUCUUUGUUUGGUGUUUGCAAUAGCCCAAACAAUUUUCUUAAAAUCCAAUUUAUGCAACUCAAAUCGGUUUAAACCUUUUUUUAAAUCUAUCUAAAAUCUAAAUUGGUAUAAAUCUAUUAAAUUUAAGCAAUAAUAUUAGUGAAAUCCACAAAUUUGUCUUGUUUAUUUUCUUUGUAUAUGUAAAUUUGAUAAUUUAUCAAAAUAAUUUUAUAAUUAUUUAAACCCAAAAACUAAAAUAUCUAAUGUAAAUAUAAAAUAAAUUAAUAGUAUUGAACAUUUGUGUAGUGACAAUGCAAGCUCAAAAGGAAGCUCCUUCGGAUAUGCAGUGCAAGGACAAGUUUCUGCUUCAAGGUGUAACUGCUAGUCCUGGUAUCACGGCCAAGGAUGUUACUCCUGAGAUGGUACUACUUCAUUUCCCAUUUGUUUUUUUUAUACGGAUAAUGGAUAAUCACAUUUUUGUUUAUUUUCUUGUAAUGAAAAAUUUGCAGUUUAGUAAAGAGGCUGGAUAUCUGGUUGAGGAGACUAAGCUGAGAGUUACUUAUGUUGCUCCACCACAACCACCAUCACCUGUCCAUGAAGGUUCGGAAGAGGGCUCUUCACCAAGGGCUUCUGUUUCUGAUAACGGACAGGCUGCUGAAUUUUCUGUAAGUCAGGGGUCUGGUUGAUGUAACAUUUCCUAUUUACUUAAUUGUAGAUUCUCAUGUGUGUUUUGAUUUUAGUUUCAGAGAUUUAGCGCAGACAAGGUUGAACCUCAAGAAGGCACAUCUGAGGUAUAUUCAUAGUUCUUUUUUUAACCAUCAAAACUAUAUCAAAUUUAUCUGUUGCAGUCAGGUUUUCUAUUAUUUUUUAGUUUUACAAAUCUUAGUGUCAUUAGUUACAACUUUGGAACUACUUUUUUGUGGAAAGUUGGCUUUAAAAGCUGAUGUAUUAGGUAGGGAAUCUUUCUUUUUUUGUUUGUUGAUUAGUUUAAAGGUUAGUUACACUUUUAGAACCCAGUCAAGUCCUCAAGCCGCCCAUUACUUAUUUAUCAGUUUAUGGAUGCUUUUGCAUAUUUUAAUAUGUACAAUAUCCACUAGCUCUAACUAGACACCAGAUACCAGGAAAGUCAAGUCAUUCUAUUAAUUUUCUGUUAAGAGCUGAGUUUUGUGUGAUUCCAGGCAAGAGCUCUCAUCACGAAGCUAACCGAGGAAAAACAGUCUGCCAUUCAACUCAACAACAAACUUCAAAGAGAGCUGGUAAAAGAACUUUCGCUUGGCUCCUUAUUUUUAAAUCUUGGUUUAGAUGUUGAGUUUGAUUUCUGACAAAGAGUUGGUUGAUGUGCAGGAGCAAUUGAGACGUGACAGCAAGAGGAGCCAAAGUGGUAUCCCUUUGAUGUACGUUCUUCUGUUCGGACUAAUCGGUCUGAUUUUGGGAUACAUUAUGAAGAGCACAUAACCACCACCUCGAGUUCUUAGUCCCACACACACCGCCACAGACUUAUUUUUAACUCAAUUCUCGAGUCAGACAUUUUCUCUCUCUGUAUUUGACAAAUGUCACCUAAAAAAGGUGCUUCUAAAUGAUUUGUGUUACGGUAGUAAAAGCUUCAUAACUCAGUUUGCUUUGUUUUUAACUUUCUUUAUUUGUAAUCCAAAACCUUUUGGUGCUGAGUACUUUACCAGCUUCAAUGGCAGAAAAUUUAAUGUGCGAGAUGCUGAAAAAGUCAUAGUUUAUGACACUAGAGAUGGUAAACGUGACAAAGAUUAUACCAGCUAUGUAUUUCAACAGUAAAAACAUGGUAUAUGGUAGUUAACGUGCUUGACAUGCAUCAUCAUCAAUGUUCGGUUGAUUUGGUAAUUGGUAUGAGACUAGGAAGAAGAAUGGUGAAGUUGUUCAUGGUUUGAAGCUCAAAUGGUGCCUUUAAACAUUUAAGACAAAGAGAUGCAGAAAGACUCUAAUAGAGAAAGAGGGUUAGAUAAGUUCACGCGACAACAAAAGGCGCGUAGAGCUCGCUCAUAACCUCCUCCCGUCGUUACCACCACCACACUAUUAUCUCUCUACUCGCCGAGAUUAGAUUCACCGAAUCACAAUCCUCUCAACUUCUCUCUCCUUCCACCAUGCGGAGACUUCUUCUUGUUUCGUAAAGAUCCUUCCUUUUUCAAUCUCCGAUUCCAAAAAUGGCGCCUUUUGUUGAAGUAUGCAGGUACUACAAGCCUCUACCAUUCCAAUGUCCUUGCCGUUCCUCUCCUACAAACUCUCUAAUCCUUCCCCAUCUCUCCCUAAAGUACUCUAAUUUGCGUCUCCUCGCUUCCAAACCAUCCUCUCAUCCUCGCUUCAACGGAAUCUCAUUUAACCGAAGCCGUGUCAUCACCGCCGUUGCUCGAGUUGAAUCAGAGCAUCUGGGUGACGAUAGCAACUCAAAGGAGGUAACUUUAUGCUUCUUUCUUACCCUUAGCAACUCAAAGGAGAUACCUUUAUGCUUCUUUCUUGAUGGCUUGAGCUCUUACUGACAUUACUAUGUCAUUUAGGAAGAAGAAAGAGAUAAAGAAGUGCAAAAUGUGGAGGAAGAUUCGAGUUUAGAUCAACAGAAGGAGAAGUCAAGAAGCCAGUUCAAGAAGAGGGUAGUGUUCGGUCUAGGGAUAGGUUUGUCUGUGGGAGGUGUUGUGUUAGCUGGAGGAUGGGUUUUCACCUUAGCGCUAGCAGCUGCGGUGCUUCUAAGUGCUCGAGAGUAUUUCGAGUUAGUGAGAAGCAAAGGAAUCGCUCAAGGAAUGACACCUCCUCCUCGUUAUCUGUCUAGAGUCUGCUCAGUUAUUUGUGCCCUUAUGCCCAUACUCACAUUGUGAGUUAGUAGUAGCUUUCCAUUCACUCACUUACUUUCAACUCUUUUUUUCUCCUUGUUCUGAUUUAAAAAGGUUUUGAGAUCUUUGUAGGUACUUUGGUCAUAUAGAUAUCGCGGUGACGUCAGCUGCGUUUGUGGUUGCGAUGGCGUUGUUGUUGCAAAGAGGAAGAAACCCGCGUUUCUCUCAGCUGAGUAGUACUAUGUUCGGGUUGUUUUACUGUGGCUAUCUUCCUUGUUUCUGGGUUAAGCUGCGUUGUGGUCUUACUGCUCCUGUUCUUGGAAGAAGCUGGCCAGUUCUCCUCGGUGGUCAAGGGCAUUGGACUGUUGGACUAGUGGCGAUAUUGGUUUCGUUUUGCGGUAUCAUUGCUUCGGAUACGUUUGCUUUUCUUGGCGGCAAGGUAAUGUCUCUGAUGCAGUUUAGAUCUAAUAACACAUUCGGUGGUUCUUAUUUGUAUAAGUUUCAGGCGUUUGGGAAGACUCCGCUUAUAAGCAUUAGUCCAAAGAAGACAUGGGAAGGAGCUGUUGCAGGACUUGUUGGUUGUAUUACCAUUACCGUUUUCCUCUCCAAGUCUUUGUCAUGGCCUCAGCCUCUUGUCAGCACGAUAGCUUUUGGGGUUCUUAACUUCUUAGGAUCGGUGUUUGGUGACUUAACCGAGUCUAUGAUCAAACGUGAUGCGGGUGUCAAAGACUCCGGUUCACUCAUCCCUGGUCACGGUAGUUUAUAAACCAUUUCCGGUUUUUAUUUUUGGUCUAGCAAUAUUGCUCUAUAUAACCGGUUAUUGUGUGUAAUUGCAGGUGGAAUAUUGGACAGAGUUGAUAGUUACAUAUUCACUGGUGCGUUAGCCUACUCCUUCGUAAGGCUUCAUGGAGUUUGAUUCUACCAUUGUUAUAGAGCUUCAAGAACACUUACAAAGCGGCGCAUUUUCCUUCUCCACGAAAGUGAAAUUCAAGAAAUGGAUAGAGUACAAUGAUGGUGAUGUGACUGUAGAAAAUUCUGGUGGUGAGCUUCCGGUUUAUUGUUUGAUUGAACCGGUACAGAUUUUUUUUUGGUUCAAUGUGAGUACCGUUUCAGGAGGCGAAUUCUCGGGUUAUUUCAUUUGAGAUUCAUUUCAGUUUUUCCCAAGCAGACUUUUUAGUUUCGAGUUGUUAGAAUGACUCGACAUUUCCUGGCCAGGCCCACGGUUAGUGUUGGGCUUUAACGAGACAGUGGUGGGUUUUGUUUGUUUGCGUUAAAGGACAAAUCACAUGGGGAGGAGACACGUGUCGAAAUUAACGGCAAUGGCGGCUUCGGGUUGCGGUUAGGGCACGAUCUUUUGCAAACAUAAAAACAGAGCGGUGAUGGUCCAAGCACACUUGUCUGCUGUUUUGCUAAAAUGGUCCCAUACGUUCUUUACUCUCUUCUUUUCUUUCCCAUCUCCAUAAUGUUUUCUUCUCCCAUGUCAAGGACUCCUGUAAAAAUAAAUAUUUAUACCCUAAUGUCUAAUCAAAUGCAUUAUAUAUUUGACAAAACGCCCAAAUAUAUACGAUUUCGGAUUCGUCCUCUCUCGCAUAGGGAUGUAACAAAUUUGUAUCAUGUAUAGAUAUGCCUUCUAAGUUCCAAAUAAAACAAAAUCUUUCUGCUCUCUCGCAUCGGGAUGUAACAAAAUUGUCUCAUGCCUUCUAAGUUCCAAAUAAAACAAAAUCUUUCACUUUGAUACGGUUUUUGGUGUGCUUCCGGAAAGUGUCCGAUCUCAUGAAUAAUCAAACACGUUUUCUGCCACCGCCAUCCGAUAAAUUCAAUGAACGGAAGUCAUGGGCAAGAAGGUCUUAUCGUGUCUGCAAGGUUUAGUGUCAAAAUUUCGAAAUUUCGCUAUUGAACUACAAGGUUUUAGUGCGUUAGUGAGACGUUGGUCAUGUUUUCGAACCAUUAACUUCAAAUAUGUUAUCUGUACCGGAGUACAGUCAAACAGAUAUAUAAUAAUUUUGCAUGACUUUAACCAUACAUAGUAACUGCUAAUUUUAUCUUGUGUGUUGAAAUUAUUAAUGCAAGAUAUUUAUUCUCUAAUAGGGUCCUUCGAGGUGACGGUUCUUUGGCCAUUGAUUUUGGAAUGUUAAGACAAAGAUCGAUAAACCAAGUUUGUGGAUCAAAUCGGUAUGGAUAGAAUUUUGAUAGUAUGUUAAAUUAGAUGAACUUGCAACCUAAAACUAACCAAGAGAUUGUUAUCUUAUAUAUAUACUAGUUAAUAUUUUUAAUUUAACUUCCAAUAUGCAUGUUUGAAACCUUAUCUUUAGUAGAAGUACAUCCAGACAUAUAAAUACAUAUUUUGGUUAGACUUUUGGGGCUUUAGCAGACACUAUAUAUCCGACCAGUAUCCACUUGUUGAUAACAUCAAACUGUGUCCGUUGGUCAUUAGAAGUGUGGAAAUUAUUACUUUAUUAGCAUUAUAUCAAUAUAUAAUUGCUAUAAAGUCAUCGUAAUGCAACAAAAUAGCUAGGUAGUUAUAACGUCACUGUGUUCACGUAGACAUGAACAACUGAACAUGUAUCAUGUAUACAGUUGACCAAUAUUUCUAAAUGUUAAUUAUCUUAUGUAAUAAUACAUAGACCAAACAAAAUCAAUCACAGUCAAGACCGUUGCAUACUUGGUAGUUAUUAUAACAAUUAAACACAUAAUAUCUUAUCAUACAUGGUUUUGGUUCUGUUGGAUUUUGAAUAAAAUGCGUUAAGUCAAUGAAUAAGCCAUGCAUACAAUGAAAUAAAACUAGCAAGGACUCUUUUUAAAAAUCUUGGAACAUAAUGACUCACUUAGUUCAAGGUUUUUGUAGGAAACACAACUGCAAGCAUUGAUAAGAUCCGCAAUCUGCUUCUAUUCCCCGUUAAUUAAUUAUGAAAAUUUCGGAAAAUGUAGUUUUCACCUGUCAGAAAUAAAACAAUCCGUUUGAAGAAUGUUUGGCGGAAAAAGUCUGCUUGCCUUUUUGUUAAUCGCUACUAAAAUAUCGACCUUUAUGCGGAUGGUAUGUUUCCAAGAAAUACACACAUGAAGAUACAUUUAAGUGAAUUAAAUAAUGAGUUAUUAGGAGACAAAGUUAGCUAGGUAGCGCAAAACCAUGCAAAGUGUUUGAAGGCCUCAACGUAGAAACAAAGAGGUAAGAGAUUUAAAACCUCUCUUGGGAUAAACAACGAAGCAUAUGCAUCAAAACCCUAAUCCUCCUUUUUGCAUGUUCCGAUGGGUAGCUAGAUUUUAGGUCUAUAUUCAUUAAUACGUAAUAUAAAAUAUACAUAAAAUCUUAUUAAGCGGUCAGUCUGAGGAGGCUAUAAUUACGAGAGAGAAGACACAAGUUUGUAUUUUCACUUUCGCUAGGACGUUUUCUCUGGUUAGGGUCGGUGGAUUCUUCAGACAGAAGAGGGGCCACAUGAACACCAUAAUCUGACCUUCUCUACUCUUUUCUUCUUCUCACCCAUACAUUUGCAUGUUCUCUCUUUCUCCUCUAUCAUCGACGACUCUUAGUUUAUCUCUUUCUCUCUCUAUCAAUAUCUUCAUUUAUUACACGAUCUCUCUGUCUUAUGCAUUUAUAACAAUCACGAUAUCUUCAAACCGUCAUAUCUCUUUCUAGCUCUAUAUAUUGGUCGGCAACUGUCGAUUGGUUAUAGCCAUCUCUUUUUUAGUUCUAUUACUCGUCGUGGAUAUGUUGAGGACUAGUUGUUUAUAUUUCUUUGUUAUUGUUUUUGUCAUCCUUUCUCGGAUUUACUUAUGCGAGGCUCGCCAUCUUGCACCCAUGGAGAAGAAGCUUCAUGUGAAUCGCGAUAACUUAAUUGCGAAGGUAAGCCCCUUUGAUUUUUUUUUUUUUAAUGUUAGUGUGCCUGUGUUGUUUCGAAUGAUGUUAGGGUUUGUUCGUGUAUGUCAGUAUGUGCAAUAAAUUGUAGGGUAUAUUCGUAAGAAAACAGUUUUGACUAAUUCACAUGCGCAUAUAUAUAUAGUACAACAAAACACGGAUUUGACUAUUUCCUGAUCGUCGAGAGAUGUUAAUAUUGACAUGUGUAAGUGCAACCGGUUCAUCUGUGUAUGAGGUUGUGUUAACUUUAAAUAUGCAUGUUUUAUUUUGUUAUAUAUAUAGCUGAUUGAAUUUCAUAUUACCAAAUAUACUUUACAGUGAAGAUUUAUUUGUAGGUAGGGUCCGUCCAAACGUACUAGCAAUAAGAACUUUGGGUUUCAAGUAGUGUCGCCAGUUGCGCUUAUGUUUCAUCAAAUCUCCUGUAUUUGUAAUAGGGUUUUAUUGAACAUAAAAUGUGUAGUUAGUUUAAUUCUAUAGAACAAUAAAUCAACAGAAAACUAAUUGAACACAUUAUUUCAUACAACGAUAUUAAUUCCUUUUCCAUGGCACAGAACAACGAAGAGAUUAAAAAGCUAGAAGUCCCGUCGACAAACAACACGAAAACCAUAUCAAGCGAAGCACCGAUCGAACAUGCCGUAGGUGAUCAUGGCGAGAUCAUUGAGAAGAAUACGAAGGACGAUUGCAGAGUAAACCGAGCUUCACUAGUCAAAACAAGUGUGUCGUCAAAAAGAGUCUCAAGAACUUGGAAAGUUCCCAAAUAUUCAAAGAAGCUGCCUAGGUCGGAUCAGGAACAUCCUGGAUUCAAUCUUGAUUAUAUGCAGCCCACUACGCACCCACCUCAUCAUAAUUAACCUUAUAGUGAUCAAGUUUCCAUAUUGUGAUUUAUAUAUAUACAAUAAUUUUAAGUCACACGAGGAAUGUCGUCCACAUUUUAACUCUUUCAAUAUAUGGUCACAAACGACCUAGUUAUAAGCUUAUAACAAAAAAAUAUUAUGUAAAAUUAGUUAGAAAACAGGUUCUUGAUAUUUGUUCAAUACACGCUUUCGCGCGCAUACAUCAAUAACGAUGCACUAUAUAUUAUAUGCGUCUUUACAUGCACUUACAUGUGACCUUUGUUGUUAUUUUUUUGUUUGUUUGUUAAAAUCAUUUGCUGAAUUGUUGUGAUACAAUUCUCAAGUAUUUGCAUUACAAAAAUGUGUGCAUUUUGGUUGUUAACAAAUUGUUAUUAAGGUACCACUAGUCAAAAUGCCUUAUUUCUAUUGAAUUAUACAGUACGUCCGCGUGCACAGUCACUAUUAACGAUGUCCAAAAAGGACGAGAUCCCGCGUUUGGUUCCAAUGCAAUCAGGUUGUCCCAAAUCUACGUAUCAUAAAAGAAUUAAGUUUAAGUUGACUUCAUACAAUUACAACUCAUAAAACAACAAGUUGACAAAAAAACUCAUAAAACAACAAUGCAAGCAAUAUUCUUUACCAUAUACUCCCACCGUUUAGAAAAAUCUAUGUUUAAAAAUAAUUGUUUUAAAAACAUAUAUAUUUUACAUUUUUAAAACAUUAAUUAGUGGUUACAAAAUGUGUUAUUAAGACUUUAUUGGUUAAAAAUUAUGAAAAUAGUUAACUACAAGUCUACAAACAUAAUGUAUUAAUAACCACAAAUUUAAUAUAUUUUUAAUAUACGUGAAAAUUCUAAACUUACAAUUUUUUGAAAUUGUUUAAAUAUAUUUUUCAUUAAAACGUUUGUUUAUUUGUUUCUUGAAAUUUUGUGUCUAUUUUUUUGAGCGAGAUUGUAAUGGCCCAUAAGCCCAUUAAAUAUGGAUAGCUACGACUCGAGUGUCAGGCCCAUUUAAUUGUAAUGGCCCAUAAGCCCAUUAAACGUUCCCGCCUGAAAAGAAAUCUGGAAUUUCCAAUUUCUAAAACCUAAAGAGGAUUAAAAGAUAGUGUGUGCGGGUUGUUGGAGACUCAGAGAGAUUUCAAUCUCGAAGAAUGGAGGGAAAGCAAGCUGGAUCUUCUCUUGAUUCGUUGAUAUCUUCCUUCAACAAACGAGUCUCCGAGUUGCAGGAACUCGUCAUCGCCCGGAACAGUGAGUCGCGUUUUCUCAUCAGCUCGAAACACUCUAAAAAUCAAUUCGAUUGAACCUAAUUUUUUAUUCUCUUUCGCAGUGUAUCCGGCGAGCAGCGUCCCGGAUUUAACGGCGAUUGACACGGCGUUGAGCUCGAUGGAGCUUCAGGUUCAGUCCAUCAAGGAUCGGCUUCGUGAAGAGACCGAAGCUAUUCCAAAAGCCAAGGUACAGUCUCGAAGAUUUUCGAAAUUAGAUUCUAGAAGCGGUCACUAGAUGUGUAAUUGAUUAGGUGUGAAGGUUUAGGGUGAUGGAACUGUAGUCCUGUUCGUUUGGUUGCCGCAGGUUUUGGUGUCGGUGUCAGCGGCGGCGGCAGCAGCGUCAAUGAGGACAGUUGUUGUUCGUUUCGCAGACGCUGACGCUGCCGCUGACACUGACGCAUACUAUAUCGCGACCGCAGGUUUUAUCGGCGUUAGCCGCAGACGCUGCAUUCGGACGCGGCGUCAGACGCAGCUUCCCGCGUCAAUGAAACGAACAAGAGUUGACGCAGAAUGUUGACGCUGCCGCCGGUACCUGCGGCAACCAAACGAACAGCCCUUAUGUGUAUUCUUCUAUGUAUUUAAUUAUUUAUCGAUUCCAACUUCAUGUUUUUUCAAUUCGUGGUGUUUUGAUUGUAGAAACUUAUUGAGGCAUCGCUGAAACAACAAGGGAAGCUGCAGAAGAUGUCUGUUUAUGCACCGUCACACUUUCCUGACAAGACUACAAUGUUGAAUUCUGAUAUUAACAGAUGGUAUAUGCAAUACAUUGAGUAGUCCUUUUACGUCAUUAUUGUUUUUAUACUAAGAUUAGUGGGUUACUACCAGUUUGCUUCAAGAAAAUGUCAAGAAGCAUGAACAGAGUUCUGCUCUUAGGUCCUUGAGAUCUGAGGAGGAAGCAGCUGUUUUACCCAAGGUAGGACUUGCAUAUACUGUGUUCUUCUCCUAAGAGACGUUAUUGUAUAUGGUUAAAUCUUCUGGGUUUCGUUUACAGGAGAGGAAAGGUCGUGGGUCUCCUCCGCUUUGGUACAUAACUGUUGAUGAACUCAAUUCCCUCUCAUCGUAAGUACAAUUUACUCUCCAUGUUUAUGUGAAAUGCAUUUUCUGAGAUGUUUCUCGAAAAAUGAAAAAAGAUACAUGAGAGGAAGGCUUACCCUGGAGAAAGUGAAUGCGGCUAUCAAUGACAUGGCUUCAUACGCUGAAGCAAAUGCUCAUCUUAUUUCAGCUCCAAAACAUAAGGUAUUUAUUACUCACAUACGUCCUGCUCUGUUUAUGUGUUUUCGGAAUUGAUUACUGACUUCUCUGUUUGUUACUCUUGUGGAGCUUGCUGAAAACCUCUGGGAGAAAGCACUGGUAAGCUAUUUCUUUUAAAGAAUGUUAUUGUUUCACGAAAAGCUAUUUUAUGGAUUCUUAUGCUGAGGUAAUUGAUUAUCUUGAAACUCUUGUUUGUAGAAACUGCGAGACAUUGUAACAUCCGGAGCACUGAAGGGAAAACACUUUUUUCUUGAAACUGACAUGAAGGGGCCAAUGUUGAAGCUAGACAACACAGGCAAAGCAAUACUUACGGUAAGUAUCAUUUUCUGCUUCUUUGAUUUCAAACAACAGACAGAGUUUUUAAUGUCACCAGGAGUUAGACAACACUUCAAAUACAAAAUAAUUGUCGGUUUUUUGAUGUAUUUAACAGGUUCUUAGACACCUUGGUCGUGUUAGUGAGACUCGCAUUGGUCAAAACCGCGUCAUCAUUCUUAUGAAGCCUAAUUAGAGAAGAAACCAGCUUAUCUCAAGUUUAUGUAGCCACAUCAAUUUAUUGAUUAUCUCCUGUAGAAGGUAUGCUUAUUCGUUAAACGCAUUAAGCCUUAAUCUUUUAGACUGUUCUGCUAGUCCCACAUAGGCCCAGAACCAACUAAAUAGUUGUGUAAUAUGGACGAUGACUUUGCCCGGCACCAGAACCAACCUCUUUUCGGUUCGUUCAAAAUCCCAGGCUAGUUUACCCCUAAAAGUUUCUCAUAUUUGCACUAAAGUAGCAAAACUCGAUUUCCGUUACUUUGUUAUUUUUUUCAAACUCCAAGCAUUUGCGGAAUGUAUUUUAUUAGUAUAUUUGGUUCAAGUUCCAGUGUACAAAUGGCCUGUCCCAUUCAAAUCUACAGAGUAGCAAAACUCGGUUUUGUUUUCAUGUACUUUACUUAAAAAAAUAUACAUAAACCUCCAGGGAUCGUAGAUGUUCUAUAUAAGAUACAGCUAUGGUAAAAACGUUCGAGCCCAUUUGAAGAAAAACAAAAUUAGGUUCAUUCGACUAUGUUAAAUCAUUAUUAUUCAUAUGUACAGAGAACGAGUAAAUACAAAGAGGAAGUAAGAAAUGGAAUGGAGCAUAAACAUUCACAGAUACACGUUUAUUGAUAAUGUCUGUCACAAUCGUUUUGUCUUAUUUUUCAUAAAACCCAAUAAUUUGUUCGUGCAAAGACACGAAAAACAUUAUGCAUAAAGACAAAACCCUAAACAAUAAACCCUCUUGAAAGCAUGGAUACUCUUUUACACAUUUAUUACCAACUAACUCAUAUCAUAUCAUAUAAUUAUAUUACAAGAGAUGAUCAUAAAUUCUCUUGUACAGCCACGUUUUAGACUAUAUAGAGUUCACCACCAUGCAAACGAAUCAUUUUAACUCGGACAAGAAAGAUGUGGUCUGUCCUACUCCUGCAUAGUUAAUGAUUCAAGAUUUUAUUUUUAUUUUGUCAGUGAUUCAUGUUUUUAACCUCUCGAGAUUUGAGAAUUUACUAACCCGCAGUAAAUAAAUAAUAAGUAUAUGCCGCCUGAAUAAUGUGUGAACUGAAAAUGCAAUCAUGAAAGUAAUCACUACCUAUUAUAUUUUUAUAAAUGAGUACAAAAAUAUGAUUUAUGUUUAAAUUGUUUGAAAAUAGAUAGCAUAGAAUUCUCCCUUUAAGCUGUACACAGACCAGACAAAACCAGAAGAGCUCCGUUUUUUUCUUUUUUCCAUCUCCUAUAUAUUUUAAAUUUCAUUUUGAAAAACUUAACUUUGAUUCGUUACAGAUAAGUAGACUAAAUUGUUACGUUACGUGAAUACAUUCUACUUAUCACUUGGACCGCACACACAUACGGCCCUCCCUAAUAGAGCGGAGCUCGUUGCGGCGGCGUAUUCUUCCUUCGGUUAAAAAAGUUCGCCGGAGCUUCCGUGUUAGCCGAGGAAACCGCCGUGGUGACUCUCCGGCAAGUCGAACUCAAGCUGCUUCUCUUCUUGCGAACGAUUUCAGUUGCAGCGGUGCAAGCGAGCGCCUGACACAAGAACAUGUCUACUCCUCCCUCAUCGUCGGUUAAGUUAAGAGAGAUGCAGACGCGGAGAAACCCCGAGAGUCCUCUUUGUCUCAUUAUGACGUCACUGAUCUACAAAAAGCAAAACAAAAAAGACAAAACCUUUUUCUGUAAAAAAUGAUCGUACACGCGUGUGAUUAAUGGUGCAUGGUCGAAAAAUAACAAACAUAUAUCGAUUCAGAGAUUAAGACAUCAAUAAAUAAAAACGUUUCUUUUUAUAAUUUCAGAGAUAAUUAAAUGUUUGAAGAAAAGAACAUCGACCAUAAAAGUAUUAAAAUCAAAUUGGGUAUGUGAUGAAAUUUGAAACAUUAAAAAAAAUAUAGUUAAGGAGAAAAGUUAAUUUUAAUUAGAAGAAGAAGCGGAUUCAUUACCUUGCAGGAGAGAGAGCAGAAGAGGUAAGGAGAUUGGAGAGACCGGUCACAUGUGUUGCAAAAAUUGCCGGAGCCACGAAACUGUCGAGAGUGAGGCCGUUCAUUGAUGAACACAACUUUCGAACUGUUCACUAUGUAUGGCUUUAAUCAUCAUCAUCAACGCAUACACACAAAAGAUGAAGAAACACGUAUUAAUUAAAAAGAAAGCAGCUGCAUGAGCAUUAAUGGAUUAAAAGAGUUUUUAAUUACAGAUUUUGAAAAACAGACCAACAAACAAACCUGAAUUAAAGAGCAGUCCAUUAGGUUCGAGCCAUCCUCUACCCUCAAAACAUCGUUAUACAUAUAUCUUCUUAUCUGCAAAAACAUUCCCACCAACAACACAAAGUUUAAGACUAUCUUAUUUUCAAAGAAAAAAAAAAGUGAAAAUUUUGGUUUUCUUGAAAUGAGACCCGAAGGAGACGAUGAGAGGUAUGUGAAGGGAGACAGUGAGGACAGAUGCUAAGACAACAGUCGAUGCACAAAAUGUUCUUCUCGUUCUUCUUUUCUUCUUCAUGGUCCAAACAAGCGUUGAAAAACUUCUCCUUUAGCAAAACCUCAAGCCAUGCAGGGAACUCUCUAGUCUCCAUCUGCAGAAUUAAAGCAAGACCCAUGUUUCAAUUUCGGAUUUUUAAGCCUAGAAAAUGAAAAAGUUAUCUAAGAACAAAAGGAUUCACAAGGACUGUUUUUUUUAAUCUCUAGUCUUCUGUAAUAUGGGGAAGAGAUAAGUAGAGGUGAAGGUCAGGCGAAUUUAAGCUCUCAGUGGUGAAACUGACUCACCAAUUCCCAGAGAGAGAGAGAGAGAGAGAGAGAGAGAGAGCGCGGCGCCUGGAGAGAGUGACCAGUAGCUUAAAUUAAAUGAGUCAUCUUGUCCUUUCUGUCGAGUCUUUCGUUAGAACGUGUUUUUGUUAGUUUUUGUUGUUUUAUUGUAUCAUUAGAGAAUUAAUCAUACUUAUCAAUCUUCGAUGAAACCCCAAUGACUAGAAAUGAUUAUUGGGACAACUAUCGUCAAGUCCUGCUCCAACCGUAGCUGAGUAAAACAUGGAAAAAGAACAUAGCAAAGUAUCGUAUAAUAUAAUAUAGUAUUAAAAAAUAAAUGGUGACCAGAUAACGAUGGAGAAUAAUGCAUUCCUUAACGUUUCUAUUAAAAAAUCAUCAUUCACAAGGAAUAAUAAUUCCCUCCCAUUCUCUUUCGUUCUUUUUUUUAGAAAAUUAAAGGAACAAUCAUUCAUUUUCUUUCUUGCUAUUUUUUUUCCGUAUAUUCCUUUUAUGUUUGUUCAUUUUAUUUCCUGGAUGAUCACCAGUCAAACCAUAGUGUAUUACAAGUAGAUUGAUCAUUUUCUCUUGACAGUCAUUAUAAAUUUUACUGCGGUAUCUGUGUUUUAAUAUAGUGAUCAAAUAAUGACAGAAAACUUUAUGGUUUAAAAAAGAUUCUCAGUCUGUUUGUAGUCUCCGAGGAUUGAUGUUUUAGUUAAGUUUUUUUCUCUUUGGAUCCAAAUCAAGUUGAUAUAAGUAUUUUGUAGCUAUUUCAUUUUUUUUUGGCUCUAUCAGCUUAACAGUGCAAAAGUACUAAAUGACAAGUAUUUCACCCCAACGUUCUACUUUUCGUUUCCUCAAUGGCAAUUGGUAAAACGGUAAAAGUAUUGGCAUCCAACAACAUUCGCCAUUUUAUAAAGAGAAAAAAACCAAAAUAGCAAUAAAUCAAGUUUUUGUUCCCAAACUAAUAUUCAAGGCCAAAAGUCACAAAAUAGCACUCAAGGGGUGGGGUUUAGGGUUUAGAAUUUAGAGUUUAGGGUUUAGAAUUUAGGUUUUAGGGUUUAGAGUUGAGAAGUGAGGUUUUGGGGAUAAGAUUUCAAAUUUUGAAAAAUAAAUAAAUUAAAUUUUUCAAAAGAUAAAAUGCUAUUUUGGUCAUUUUAGUUUUUGAGUGCUAUUUUUGUGAUAUAAACUUAGAAAAGUGCUAUUUUGGAGAUUUGCCCUUUUAUAAAUUAUAACUAAAAACAUAAAUAUAUUAUAUAAUAUUUUAGUACUUAUUCUUGAGUAUUAGAAAUAGCAAAUUCCAAGAAAUGAAAUGAAAGUAGACUCAUCUCAAAAACCAGUGCGAAGUUGAUGGAUGGGCGGCUUUUAUUAGUUCUUUGCCUAUACUACUCAAACUAUCUACACACUCACUAGGUCACCUAUAUUUUUUUAAGUUAAUACGAUAACUUUUUUUUUUUGGUCGAAAGUUAAUACGAUAACUAAAAUGCAUCUCAACUCAAAUUGUUCGUUUAGUUGAAAAGGAGAUUUAAAUUUAAAAUCGAAGUAGGAAAAGUGUAUGCAUGUGUAUAUAAUAUAUAUAUAGAGAGAGCAGGUGGGACAGGGAGGUGGAUCAGAAGUUUGGUACGGAUGAGAGCAGCAGCCUCAUGCAGAAGACGACGUCCUUUGCUUCUGAUCUGAUCUGUUCUGAUCCGGUUCGAUUCGAUUAGAUCCAGCUGUCCCCUUUUAUCGUUAACGGCUUGAAGCUUUUUUUUUCUAGUUAGCGAUCAAGGGUAGUCUAGUCAUUUGACCUUUAUCUACAUGGGCUUGGGCUGUUUACACUUCCGUUGGGCUCGUUCUAUCGAUUAUUGCGUUCUGAUUUGGGGUUCUUGUAUAGUCGAUGUUGUUGACUUAGUCUCAUGGCGUCGUUGCAUGCAAAACAAACUUUUAUUUAACAAUCGAAAUCGCUGGUGACUUAACUAUAUGGUCAAAUGAGAACAAGGGACAGUGACACACGACCUACGAGUUUGUCUUCAUUAUAUGAUUUCAUGUCCCACCAGUAAUAAAUGGAUAUCUAUAAAUGUACAUGACAUUAUGGAUUUUACGCACAAUGCGGUGAUGAAUAACGGACCGGUUUGAAAACCAUAUAAAAUAAAUGCCAGCUUAACUUUAACCAUGUCAAAUAUAAAAUCAUAGCUCAAAAAUAAAAACUCUUAAAGAUAUAUCAAAUGGAACUACAAUUCAAUGCUGAAUCGCCCAUGUUUUUUUUUUCAAAUUCAUUACACGAAUUUGUAUUCAUGUGGGUAGUACAUCAUAUUUAUACCAACAUAAUCAUUAGCCUAUAACACCUAGUUCCAUACUUAGAGAUUGAAUUUCAAGCCAGGGAUGUGUUUUUUUUUUGAGAAAGGAUUUCAAGGGAUGUGUUUUUUUAGAAAACAUGAACAAUCACACCACGAAAUGUUUAUGCAAUGAAAGAUGGCUAGCAUUCAUAUUUUUCUGACGAUGGAGAAUUUAACUGGUGACAUAUGUGGUAUAUAUUAUUCAUAUCGGUUUACUUUCUAGCGGCAUAUGUGAUAAAGAUAAAAGCCUGUGUUCCGGUUAUGAUUAAGACACACAAAUAGAUAAUACCGCGAAUAUUACUAGCAUAAUCAUAAACAGUUAGCACUAACAAAUGUUUGCUAAAAGCAUCACAAAGACGUGAAGAAAAGGUAAAGACAAAGCGAGAAUCUGGGAGAAGAGUUAUAUGUCUUUGUAAAGGUGUCUUCAAAGUUAUGAUUAGUCUUGCUGUCUUGGUGGUCACUAAAUCAAAGUUUUAUACCAGCAAAGGCUUCGGCUUUAUAAUAAUUUGUAUAAAGGGAUCAAUAAUACUUUUCAACCGUGUUCUUAUUAGCAAAACUAUCAAUAGUAACCGAGGAAAACACGCUUACGAGUAUUUCUUUAUAGCACAACAAUUAAGUAAUUAAGAAAGGUUGGGAUCUUAGUGUAGAAAGUGGAUAGCACACUUAAUUUUCGUGCCGUUCACAUUAAAAUGUUGACAGUUAACGUAAACGUAAUACCAUUUCUCAUUUUUUUUUGAACAACAAUCUCAAAUUGUUUAGGUAUUGUAUAAAUGUAAUUUUUUGUUGUAAGAAAAUGUAAAUUUAUAUACCAUGUCCAAUCCAAUAUACAGAUUACAAUAUUUAUUUCUGAUUUCACAUGUUACUACAAAAUAAAAUUAAUUCGAGUAUAUAUAUAUAUAUAUUAUUUUUUAUUUAAACGAAUAAAUAAUAUUUUAUACUUAGAAAGCUAGAUAAAUGUUAUUUUAAAAGUAUAAAUUGAAAUUAAAACCCAUUUAAAUUUAGAAUAAAAUUAAGAAAUACAUUGAAAAUGGUUUCUAUAGCAAAAAAAAGAAGCAAAUGUUCACUUGUUACCGUUAACUAAUCAUUAAAAUAAAAAAAAAAAGUCAGCGGAAUUAGAGAUGAGCAUUAAAAAAAGUAGAAACUAAAAUGUAAAAAAUAAAAGAAAAUUAAAAAAAAAAUACAGAGGAAAGGGAAAGGAGGCUUUGAGCAUUCCUUUCUUCCAAUGCAUCCAAAGCACCGCACCACCACCACUACUACUAAUCCCUCAAAGCACAAACCUCAAGAUCCUUAACUUGCUUUUCAAUUUCGCAUUCGAGAAAAAAGGAUAAAGCUUUACUUUCUCCUUCAUCGUCUUGCAUCUCUGCGAUGCGAGAAGUGGAAACCUCGUCUCCUCCACAAUUCUCCGCCAUGUUUCAGAAGCUAGCGAUGGCCGUCAAAGCCAAGACCUACGAGUUCUUCACCGAAGACGGCGAGAGCAUCAAUCCCGAGGGCGGCGGCGGCUUCUCCCUCCUCGACUCCACCGAAGACUUCAUCCCCGAUCAGAAAGUCGUCGUCCUCAAACCCGACUCCCCUCCCAAGACCAAGACUUUACUCAAACCCAAGCCUCCUCGGGUCAGAAAACUCGAUACCCAGAUGGGAUUGAGCUUGAUCUCGUCGAUUUUCGCAACCCUCUCCUCCUUCGAAGCUUCGUAUCUUCAGCUCCAAGCCGCCCACGCGCCCUUCGUCGAGGAGACCGUCAAGGCUGCUGAUCGAGCUCUGGUCUCUAACCUCCAGAAACUCUCCGAUCUCAAGCAGUUUUAUCGAACCCAUCGACAAAGUUUGGAUCUUGAGACCGAUUCUUUACCGAUUGGGUCGUGCUUGGAAUCUAGGGUUCAGGAGAAUCAGAGCAAGCUUCGAGCUUUGGGGACGGUUUCUAACCGUUUACAAGGCGAGAUGGACGGUAAGGAUCUGCGGGUUUGGACUCUGAGGAACAAGCUGAGCGAGAUUCAGAAGUCUAACUCGAAGCUGUCGAAGAGACUGUCUGAAUCGGACGGUGGUGUUGUGUUGUCCGUUAGGGUUUACGAGUCUGUGUUGGGCGAUGCGUUUAGAGAUGUGAAGAGGUUUACUAAGGUUUUGAUUGAGCUGAUGGAGAAGGCGGGGUGGGAUUUGGAUUUGGCGGCUAGCUAUGUUCACCCUGAGGUGGAGUUUGUUAAGAAGGGGCAUAACAGGUAUGCGUUGUUGUCUUACGUUUGCUUGGGGAUGUUUCGUGGUUUUGAUGGAGAAGGGUUUGAUCUUGAUGAUGAUGAUGGAGAAGAUUCUUCUUCUUCGUUGAGGGAGUUGAUGCAGCAUGUGUCUAGCAACCCCAUGGAGCUUCUUGAGAGAGAUAAAGAGUGUGGGUUCUCUAGGUUUUGCGAUAAGAAGUACCACGAGCUGAUUCAUCCCAGCAUGGAGUCUUCGAUAUUCAGCAAUAUGGAUCGAAACGAAGCUGUGUUGAGUUCUUGGAGAUCUUUGAGUACUUUUUACGAGUCUUUUGUCGCGAUGGCUAGCUCGGUUUGGACGCUUCAUAAGUUAGCAUUGUGCUUUGAUCCUGCAGUUGAGAUUUUUCGAGUUGAAAGUGGAGUUGAUUUUUCGAUUGUUUUCAUGGAGAAUGUGUUGAGAAGGAGAGAAGAUAAGAAGUUGUCGAUGAAUCUUGAUCGAGCCAAAGUGGGAUUCACGGUGGUUCCUGGGUUUAAAGUUGGCUGCACGGUGAUCCAGUCUCAAGUUUACCUUACCGGCUUCAAAUGUAAAUGAAAGAGACUGAUGAUGGUUUACUUUACUUACUUCUGUGAUUAACUGUGUUCUUUAAGUCUUGGUUUGAGUUCUUGCUUUCGUUCAAAGUGUAUAGAAAGCUGUGGUUACUAAGUUUGGAUUGCAGAAAAAAAAAGUUACAUUGUUUCUCUUAAUCUUAGUUAAGUUGUAAGUUGUGACGGAGUGAUUAUCAAAGUGUUAGUUCGACCAAUGUGUUUCAGUUUGAUCAUCAGCUUGUAACAUUUAUCUGUUUCUGUGAUAGCACUGCGUGUCGUUUUUACUCACUCGACGCUCAUAUAUAUUCAUGGGCUUUUUUAAAAGCCCAUGUUUGGUCUUAUAGUUUAUUAAACUUAGGCCCUAAUGUGGUAUGUUGUCGUCAACGAUAAAUCUAGGCUGUUAGUCAUAUUCAGCUUAAAUAGUUUAUGGGCUUUAUCAGGCCCGUUUAUCACCACGUUGAUGGGAAAAAGUUGCACACGUGUAAAUGUCCGCGUGGCAUCAGACAAAACACUCGUUGGUCGUAUCUUCAAAAUAAAUUUGGUCGGCAUGGCGGACUUGACCAAGCUGUACAAUACGGUACGACGUCAUUUUACGUACUAUACAACGAACGAUACCAAACAAGGAUGAUUAUUGUAUUUGUAUACACGAUCGUCGAUUGUUUGUUUAAAUUUCUUCUUUCGUUGACUAUCGAUUAGUGAGAUCAAUCACCAAUUAUUGUUGCAAAAAUAGGUAAUUAAUUGACCGAGGAAAAAAUAAAUUAAUUUACCGAGGAUUAAGGAACCGACUAGCGUUUUUUUGUAAACUGGCUUUCAUCUAUAUUAUUAAAAGAGAAGUACCCAUUAAAAAAUACCCCUAAGUUUUUGAAGUUAAUUACAUUUUCAUGCCACUGAGAAUUAAAUUGAAUUUCCUAUUUUAAUGCUUGUCUUUUUCAGUUAGAUUAAUUUGUUUUCCUUAUUCAAAUAUAAACUUAACAUCAUUAAAUUAACUUACAUAUUUUAAUGCUUAUGUUUUUCAGUUAAAUUAAUGAGUUUCCUUUAAUCAAAUUUAAACUUAAUGUCAUUAAAUGAACCUAAAAAUAUAUCAUAUUUAACGUAGCUUAUUACGGACAAGUACGGCCCAAUAAUGAACUUGAAUUUUAUUUUUAUGAAAACGUGAAUCACUUGACGUAUGUAAUAUUUAAAAUAUAUUAACUACAGUAUAACAAAUGCAUAUAACCUUCCUAUACUUUAGUUUGAAAUGAUCAUGCUCAAGUUUUAUAUAGUCCACUUACAUAAUGCAUCAAGCGAUGUACAAUAUUCAAACCACCUAUAGUUUUCGUUUUCCUUAUAUGAUGUAUCAACCAACCAAUCAUGAUAUUGAAUUUCUAAGCUUUAUAAAAAAAUAAAUCAAUAGAUACAAACUCAAAAUCCAAUAUCUUCUAUUAAUCAAAACAGAAUAUCUUCAGUGUCGUAUCUAUAAUGUACCUAUUAAAUAUAGAAACUGUAACCAUAAUAAUUACACUAAUUAUAAGAAUAGAUUUGAUUACAACCAAUUGAUAUAUUACUUCGGUAAUUGAUUUGCUUGCAGAAGAGAAAAUAGUAAAUUUAAAAUUUGUAAGAAUAUAAAGAUAUAGAGAUUCCAAUCCAUUGCCUAUAUUUGCGUAUGAUUUUUGCAUAAUAAGCUUCAAAUUGAACAUUGAAAAAGAUAGAAAGAUUUUUUUUAAUCUUUUACCGACAUAGAACUUAAACAAAACGAAGAGUUUUUUUGUUACACUUCCCGGAAAAAACGGUUACAACAUGGGCUAUCAUAAUAUGGCCUUUUAACAUAUUAAUGUUAUGGACAUUUAAUAAUUAUCUUGACGAAAAACAAAGACUAUAAAUAAUUUAUUAUUAAUAAAAUUAUGAAAUUAUUUACAAUUUGAUGACUAAUUCAUCGCCCUUUUUUAUAUGUUAAAUUUUUCGUAGAAGUUUAAAAAUCAUUAUAUUUUCUUUAAAGAUGUAUAACUAAUUUAUAAUCUUUUAUGCCGUACUAAGUCAUAAUAUAAUAUCUCUUCAUAUUUUAUAUUAAUAACCAUUGUUUUUAUAUAUCGUUUACAAUUCUCUAAUUACGUCUGUAGUUCUAUUUUUUAUAUGAUAUCGAAUAUUCAUCAUAAAUAGAUGGUUUAAGAUGCCAAAAAAAAAUUUAUUUGGUGAAUAUAAUACAUCAAAUAUUACAAAUACAUCAUUUAGUUAAAUAAAUAACCAAAAAUCAAAAAUUCAUACCCGCGCUGGCGCGCGGGUCAGGUUCUAGUUCUGAUUAAACUAAAAACAAAAAAACAUACAGACCUAGAAGGCAGUGUUUUGUGGGCAAGGCCCAAGUUACACAUAAGAUAAUAAAACCCUAGAAGAAGAAUCUCAUUAGAACUGGCCCGACAGUAAAGAAAGAUCAAAGUUUAAGCCCAAGUGUAAUAUGCCCAAAGAAUAAUCGGGAGGUGGUAGUUGGUUGGUGGAGAAGUCAUGAAGCGAGAGUAAAUGGAGGAAGGGAGACUGUGGGAGAUUUGCAUCUCAUCCCGUGGAGAACCAACGCUGCAUCAUCGUGGUCGAGAGAGAGAGGUUGAUUUCUCUGAAGCUCUGAACUUUAUUCCUGAUUUGGCGAUCAAUCGCAGAGUACAUCGCAGUUGUCGUUGUAAAAGGUCUGGCAUGCAAUCUCCCAUUUCUUUCAGUCCAGAGCCAGUAGAUGGUGGCUUGCCAGGCUAGAAGAGAGAGCAAGCGCUUUGUUUUAUCACCCACCAAAGCCGUCAACUGAUCCACCGUCUGACCCCAAGAUCGGAGAGGUCGAAGACAACACCUAGACGCGAUCAAAGUCCAUAGAUCAUAACUGAAUGGACAAUCGAAGAACAGAUGAUCCCUAGAUUCCAAUUGCGAGUUGCAAAGCACACACAUCGGAUCAACAUGAAGGCCCCAACCUAUCAUCCUAUCUUUAGUAGGGCAACGAUUCAGGUAGACUAGCCACGCCUGGAAGGAGUGGCGCGGUAUAGAGCGCGAGAACCAUAUCAGCUUUGCCCAACCUUUAUCUUCAAUCUCACCUCUCAAGUAAGUAUAUACUGCUCCAGUUUUGUAUUUUGUUUCACUGUUCCCCUGAAGAUUCCACACAUAGAAAUCAACAUUUGUAGAAAGCUGGAUUGUGGUUAAGAAGGCAUAGAGUUCUAACGCUGCUUCUGUUCUCGCAGGCGGAAGCAACCAGUUCCCAUUUCUACAAAGCGAAGCCACAGUUGCUUUGUGCGGAAUCCCUAGUCUUGAGUUUGAGGAGGUUUCGAGAGCGGAAAUACAACCUGCAGGAGCCCAAUUGUGGUGCCAGAAUAGAGCAGAGCGACCAUCCUCCACUUUCAACUUUAUCAGAGGGUAGACGAUCGGCCUCAUCUUUAUCAAUUUAUUUACCAGCCACGAGUGUUUUUGACUUGUCUUGACAGUCCAGUAGUUAUGUAUUGAUCCUUUAAGGAUAACCUCCUUAAACCAUAUCACCCAAACUGAUUCCUCCCUGAAGAAAAGCAUCCAGAUGAGUCGCAAACAGCAAGCCUUGUUCCAGGUUAGUAGGUCUUUGAUUCCUAACCCUCCCUGCGCUUUAGUUAACGUAACAGUGUCCCAUGCCACCCUUGAAGCGUGGUGACCGUCCAAGUUUCCUUUCCAGAGGAACAGAUUACACAUGGAGUUUAUCUUUUUUAUGCAGGCCUUAGGGAGGAUGAAGGCAGAACACCAGAAAGUUGUGAUACCCGCGAUGACCGUCUUGAUCAGGAGUAAACGGCCCGAGAAGGAGAGAGUUUUUACUGACCAUGAGGAUAGUCUUCCUUUGACUUGUUGGAUCAGUGGCUGACAGUUUGGCAAUGAUAAUUUUCUUGAGUUGAGGGGAACUCCUAGAUACCUGAAUGGGAGAUCACCUAGCGUCAUACCAGUAGAAGCUUUGAUUGCAUCAUUCUCCUGGUCAGAUAAACCCGAAGAGUAGAAACUAGUUUUCUGGAAGCUAACCGCAAGACCUGAUCGGAGCUCAAAAUCACGUAAAACCUGAAGAACACAUUGCACUGAUUCGAUGGAACCAUCAAUGAAGAUGAGCAAGUCGUCUGCAAACGACAGGUGAGUGAGCUUCAUGGCAUUACACUUUGGAUGGUACUUGAUUCUAUUUGCUUCAGCCGCUUUGUUUAGCAUGAGAGACAAGUAGUUCAUAGCCAUAACAAACAAGUAAGGUGAUAGUGGGUCGCCUUGCCUUAGUCCUCUCUUCCCUUUGAAAUAACCAUUCACCGUGCCAUGAACCGACUAGCGUUUUCGAGCAAAAAAUUAUAUUUGCUUAAUGUGACGGCAAUUUAGCUUUAACGACGUCUUUAAUAAUCAGACGCUUUUCCAAUAAACCUUUAGUUGACCUUCGAGGCAUCGAAAAGAGCUCAUGGACACGUCACGUACGAUUAUCCGUACAAAUAUAGACAAAAUAUUAGCAGCUACGUGCAUGCUUUAAUACUAUUUUACAAUAUCUCUAAUCGAAAUCUCACCUUUACCACCCACUCAUUCAUCUGUAUGGGUCUCAACAGUCAGCAGCACCCUACUUGUAUAUGAAUUUAUCAUUAUUGUAAUAUUGGAAUAGGAAUUUAUAUAAGACAAAGAUCCCGUGCCGUAGUCAUCAAAUCAUAUAUAACCCUUUAACUUGUUUUUUACUGUAACCUGAUGAAGCGAGUGGUUCUAAACUUCUAGUAAUAUAUAACUGCAUAUAUUCUUGUUAGUUCAAUGGUCUUCACCUAUUUUAUCAUGUGGAAUGCGCAUUAACUACAUUGUUAGCAUUAUUUAGAUAACAAGUAAUCUCUCUGUUUCAUUAAGAUAUAAAUUUUAGAAAAAAAUAUUGUUUCACAAAAUUAUAUUUUUUAUAUUUUCUAUACCAAAAUUGCAAAUUUCAGUAAAAUUAAUUGGAUUUACCGUAAAAAGCAUUGAAAUUUGAUAAUUUCAAAAAACAAUGCAAAAUUAAUGUGUGUUUUUAAUAUGUGUGAAAACACCAAAACAUCCAUAUUUAAGAAACGGAUGAAGUAUAUAUUACAAGAAUAUUGAAUUCCAUGUUUAUUUUGGUAAACCCUGAAUUCCAAGAAUACUAAAUUCCAUAUUUCAAAACUCACUCUUAUCAUUAAAACAAAACUUCGCCUAGUGUUUUAAUUUAUCAAAUGCAAUACGAAUUAGGACCCAAAAACAUGCAGGUAAGGUCCAUCUAUUUCUAAUAUAUUUUAUUUUGUUAAAUAUGCAGGAAAGUUUACUAACUAUUUUGAUAUAUAACGACAAACAAUGAUGUGUGUUUGAAGAGUCACCACUAUUAGAUAACUUGUAUACCUAAAGUAGGUAAUGAACUGAACCUCACAGAUAAAUCAGUAUUGAUUAUCUAUGAAAAUUUUAUGAACUAACUCAAACGUAACCUAAUUAUGUGAUGAGCGUUUAAAUAUUAAAAUCACGAUAUAUGUGUGUUUUGAGCUGACUUCUUUUUUUUGUCAACUCCUAUUGGUAUAUUGGUGUUUUUAGCAAAAAAAAAAGAACUCCUUUGGUGUUUUCUUUAUCCAUUUCAAAGUUCAAAUUGGUAUAUCAUAGCAUUCUCAGUCGGAGGAAACGCGAAAUUAAACUCUAUAUAUAUAUAUAUAUAUAUAUAUAUAUAUAUAUAUAUUGUUGUCAACAAACUGAAUAAUCGAUCUAUUUUGACAUCAGUUAUAACUUAUAUGUUUUCGUAAGAUUAUAAAACGUUAAACAUUUCUCAUUGGCCCAGUGGUUAAAGCUUUGUUGGUUUAGUCAAAAGAAAAAGGUUAUAAAACGUUAUGUGACUUUCUAUGGAUGUCUCUGUCUGUCUUUAUUUCGUUAAGAGUUUCGAUUUGAAUUUUCCUUAUCAGGAAAAAUAUAAGAGAAUGUUUUGUUCUUACCUUGAAAGGUUGAAACUUAAAGCCUUGUUUGAAAAUCAUCGCAUUGUGUUGUUGGGUACUUCGAGGAAGCUCACAGUUGUCAAAUACUGGGUCUCGUAUAAACUAUGCGAGAUAAGUACAUUAAUACAAUAAUGGAAGAUUUUUCUUUGUUGAUCUAUUAUUAGUUCAAUUUAACGAUAUAAUUAUUAUUUUUCUUUUGUAGUUGUAAUGACUUUGGGUUAGUGGCAUGUCACACUCCUCUAUAAUAAAGAAAAAGAGUAACCACUUAAAAUCAAGGCUGUUUGCAGAGAUUUGGUCUCGAUUAGGAAGGCGCAACUGCAGAGAACGUUCGGACGGACUCUUCAAACCCAUUUUAGUGUAAAAAACAAUUUUAUUCAGUUUAAUAUUUCCGUGAGAAACAAUAUAAUGGUUUCGUUGGAGUUUGAAUGCGAGGCUUUCGAUCAGAAAAAAAAAGACAUAUGUGAGGCAAAUGGGCCCUAUACAUUCGAAGCUGCAAGUGACACGUUCAUGUUCGUGUACUUAUUAAUCAACUUGUACGGCCAUGGACCGAUGAAUUGUUAAAAAUACUAGUAUUAAGUAUUAACUAUCAACUAUUAUAAAGUAUCGCUUUCGUUAAACAGAAAAUAAUCAUUUUCAAUAUGAAAAAAUAAAACAUUAUUCUCACACGUAAUACGCCCCUAUUCUAUGGUGUAACUGGUAACAAACUAACAACAACACAUCAGUUUCUAAUUUCGCUGAAUAAAAAAACACAUAUUACAUAUACAUAAAAUUAAACUUGAGAAAAACAACACUAUAUAUAUAUAUAUAUGUAUUGCUUCAAGUCCAUGUAUGAAUAUUAAUCUGCCAAUUAUUUCUCCUAAAGAUUCCGAAACUAAGCAGCAAUAUUAAUUUUUGGCAAAGGGUCACAGGCUCACAUAUAUUAUAUGUACACAAGUAGAUGAAUACUCAGAUUUGCACUAAGUAUAUAAAUGAAUACUCCAAUAACUUUUGUCUUAUUAGAUUAGCACAACUUGGUUUAAUUAACGUCCUAAAUUAGCUCAGAUCUGUCUUCAGUUUGUUUUUCGUUUGUGUGUUUCUUGUUUGCAUAUGAAUAAAUAUCUAUAAGGAGGCAUCUACAGGACACACCCGUACAGGCUUACACAAGCUAUUUUAAUUAACCUUGUUGGCGACAUAAUGUGCAGCUAAAUUGAUCAAUGACAAAAAUCAAAUACAAAAAUAUUUAGAAGAGCGAUUUGAUCUCUUGUGAAGUGUUAUUACCUAAUCGAUACAAGAAAAAAUGUUCGCCACGUGGAUAUCACACGUGUGUUGGCAUCAUAAUUGUCAUCAAGCAACAUACUAAAGCGUUGGCACAUUAACUGUCAUCAAACAAAAUACAUAACAUACGGGAAAUCGGCCAAUUCCUACAUCAACAAGGGUCAACGGUCCCGAUCAGUACAUAAACAUGUUACCUGUGCGAAAACAUACAUCAACUAGCACAAAAUUUAAUUUUCAUACAUGAACUUUUAAAAUUUGGUUUUAUCAUACAUUGACAUAAUUUCCGUUAGUCAAACGUUGAGUUGUCGUUAACCGGUAAUAGAAAAUCGGCUAAUUCCUACAUCAACAAGGACCAAUGGUACGGAUCAAUACAUGAACACUUCACCUGUGCAAAAACAUACAUCAACUAAUACAAAAUUUAACUUCACUACAUGAACUUUUGAAAUCUGGUUUUAACAUACGCUAAAACUUGACAUUUACUUAAUUUCCACUAGUCAAAUAAUAUUGAAGCUAAAUUUUAUGUCAC
Molecule: long non-coding RNA, 29491 nt
Filed under: Brassica rapa (field mustard)
Lineage: Eukaryota; Viridiplantae; Streptophyta; Magnoliopsida; Brassicales; Brassicaceae
Description: long non-coding RNA (BRAP_LNC007301)
Source: RNAcentral